AUCACGGUACAUAUCAUCGUUCAUUUCGCUUCCCGACUGUGAUCGCAGUGACAUCCAUUUUUUUGUCAAGUGUGUACAAACCAAACCAUGGAGUAGCACACUAAAUCUACCAGGACCGUCAUCCGGAUGUCCGAGAGACUCAACAACAACAACAACGGCAACAACAAUAAUGACGACAGCGGGAUUGGCCACGCCAUUGUGGUGUUUACCUUCAAGGUGUCGGGAACUCCAUGUAAAAAUAGAAUGCAUUUCGUGGUGCCACAGUGUCUUUUCUAUGGCAAUUGGCGAAGCGUAAAGUGAUCUGUGUAAAACAAUCCUUAGCCAGUGAACUAAGCCUUGCGCAUUGCGCGAGGUCUGCAGGAUCGUGUGCGGUUUCGUUAUGAAUUGCGAAGAUAUUGAAAAUUGUGCAAAAAAAUACCGUGAGUCGUUAUUAUUUAUUAACAUGAGUUCUAACAUAAGUUAACAGUACCUAUAGUAUAUUAAAAUGCUGUGUAGUUGAUUAUUACUGUAUCAAAAAGUAUCGUUAAAAAAUAGUAAUUGUCAUCAAUAACUUUCUACUCAUUGAAUUUUUUCCUGGAUACAUUUUUAUUUCUUUGACAAUUAAGAGGAGAAAAUAUCGAUAAUCAAACCAACGAAUUUAGUAUAUUAUAUUAAUUAAAAAUAAAAUAACAAAAUAAUAUUUAAAUUAGACUGCUAUUUAAACGAGUUUUGAUUCGUAGUAAUAAAUAUGACAUUUAAAACAAUCUCAGGUGAUCAUCAGUAAGACAAUAUAUUAUAUUUAUAUACUCAUAGGUAUUUUUAGAUGUACUAUAACUUACACGUUUGAAUAAGAGAUGCUAUAAAUUCGAACAUUUGUUUCACGUGGAGAAACAAUAUCCGAAGUGUAUAAAAAAAUAAAAUGGCAAUAGUGGUUCCAAUAACAACUUGAAGGGCCUAAUCGUCCGGUAACAAAACUGAGAUGGAAAUAAUGAUAACACAUAAACGAAAGAAUUGAACGAAAAACUAUUCGUUGCUUCGUUCCAUUAUUCGAUAGUUGGUAUGUGGCGUACAUUUUCUAAAAUGUGGAUUACUUUGAAACUUUACAAUCCAUAAAAUUUUACAUAUUGGCAUCGGACAGAUUGUCGACAACGAAGCAAACCAAGUAUAAUAAUGCAUUACUUACCAAACACUGUGCCCUGUACGUGAUAAACAUUUUGAAAUUUAAGCAGAUAUAGGUGCACACUGCUAUCAAUAAUAUCACAGAAUAUUCGAAAUACUUUUUGUGAUAUACUUAUUCAUAUUCGUAAGUUAACGCACAACCAUACAAUAUUUUAUAGGAAGUUUUCAACAUGUACAAUAUUGCAAUUUGCAACAACCCACUAUUGGACUCCGACCGAAUUAAAACUUUAAUUAUAAUUUUACACAGGACGUAUUUUUUUCCAUUUAAAAAUACAAAUGAGAUUGCAACUUCUAUCUCUCCUGGGGGUCAGGAGCUGUUUAUGGAACUGAAGGGUCAUUAGAUGAUUGAAAUGACAACAGAAGUCAAAAACGAAUUGACAUUAUCUGCUACGGUUCGAAGCCACCGUGAAGUUAUUAUAAUUAGUAAAUAUAAUUGUUUUUCCUUUUAAUAACGUCGAUAAAGUUAUAAUAAUUUAUCGACAGGCCGAUGAGUCAAACACAGCAAUAACGAGUGUUAUAAAGCGAUCGUAUGCCAGAUACAUUUUUUUUUUUAAUUUUUAAUUUAAAUAACACAUAUUUUGUACUAUAAUACAAGAGCUAUGUAGUUAUCAAAACUUCACAAAAGUACAAUCGCGUAAUAGAAUAUAAUGUGGAAAGUUUCAACCUUUUGGUCAUAUCGUUUAACUACCACGAUACAUUUUUUUUUAAAUAAUAAUCAUAAUCAUGAUAAUAAUAGCAAUAUAUAAUGCUUGAAACUAGGGGCUGAUCACUUUUCGGGUCGAUUGUUCGCAACAAUAAGGUAAUAAAGGUUUUAUUAUGGACGAGAGCAGCGGUUCUUUUGCAACCCUCAUCCGGGUAAACUAAUCGCCGCAAAAUCGUUCACGAUAACAAUAAUAAUGGUCUUCGUUUGUCGUUCAAAGUUUUGACGGGCCAAUUGUAUUGGUCUGACAAGAAAAAAAAUCAACUAAGUGAUCGUACGUGAUAAUCAUACUUUUGUAUGACCGUGGUUUCGACUACACUAGUUGAUUCGGGUCUUAGUUGAUCAGUAAAUGUGUGUGUGCGUGUUUAAGUUCUAAGCAUCAUUUUUGAAAAGACAUUUUUUUUACAUACAAAACGCGCUAUAAUUUUGUUUAAUUCCUUUAAUAUUUUGUAAAUAUUUGCGACAUUCUUAAUAGCGCGGUGAUUAUCCUUAAUAAAUACAAUAUGUAACAUUUUUAAUAUUAAAAACAGAUAAUACUACCUACUUAUUAUUGAAUACUUUCUAGUCUUAUUUAUCACUUUAUUUUUUUUGAUAGGUAUAGUAUAUUGAGGAUGUAUGUAUAUUCGUAAUAAAAUAAAUUAGCUUUAGCUUACUAUAAAAUAU
Molecule: long non-coding RNA, 2521 nt
Organism: Rhopalosiphum padi (bird cherry-oat aphid)
Lineage: Eukaryota; Metazoa; Arthropoda; Insecta; Hemiptera; Aphididae
Exons: 4
Source: RefSeq, a predicted model, not a curated record